UGCAAAGUCGAGCGGACAGAUGGGAGCUUGCUCCCUGAUGUUAGCGGCGGACGGGUGAGUAACACGUGGGUAACCUGCCUGUAAGACUGGGAUAACUCCGGGAAACCGGGGCUAAUACCGGAUGGUUGUUUGAACCGCAUGGUUCAAACAUAAAAGGUGGCUUCGGCUACCACUUACAGAUGGACCCGCGGCGCAUUAGCUAGUUGGUGAGGUAACGGCUCACCAAGGCAACGAUGCGUAGCCGACCUGAGAGGGUGAUCGGCCACACUGGGACUGAGACACGGCCCAGACUCCUACGGGAGGCAGCAGUAGGGAAUCUUCCGCAAUGGACGAAAGUCUGACGGAGCAACGCCGCGUGAGUGAUGAAGGUUUUCGGAUCGUAAAGCUCUGUUGUUAGGGAAGAACAAGUACCGUUCGAAUAGGGCGGUACCUUGACGGUACCUAACCAGAAAGCCACGGCUAACUACGUGCCAGCAGCCGCGGUAAUACGUAGGUGGCAAGCGUUGUCCGGAAUUAUUGGGCGUAAAGGGCUCGCAGGCGGUUUCUUAAGUCUGAUGUGAAAGCCCCCGGCUCAACCGGGGAGGGUCAUUGGAAACUGGGGAACUUGAGUGCAGAAGAGGAGAGUGGAAUUCCACGUGUAGCGGUGAAAUGCGUAGAGAUGUGGAGGAACACCAGUGGCGAAGGCGACUCUCUGGUCUGUAACUGACGCUGAGGAGCGAAAGCGUGGGGAGCGAACAGGAUUAGAUACCCUGGUAGUCCACGCCGUAAACGAUGAGUGC
This 779-nucleotide ribosomal RNA is filed under the name Bacillus subtilis. RNAcentral's name for it is "bacterial SSU rRNA". It matches the Rfam family "Bacterial small subunit ribosomal RNA", at positions 56 to 816 of the family's 1533-position model. The record is from RNAcentral. Lineage: Bacteria; Bacillati; Bacillota; Bacilli; Caryophanales; Bacillaceae.